RNAcentral lists this ribosomal RNA (909 nucleotides) under Comamonadaceae bacterium. RNAcentral's name for it is "bacterial SSU rRNA". It matches the Rfam family "Bacterial small subunit ribosomal RNA", at positions 72 to 978 of the family's 1533-position model. Lineage: Bacteria; Pseudomonadati; Pseudomonadota; Betaproteobacteria; Burkholderiales; Comamonadaceae. The record is from RNAcentral.
CACGGGAGCAAUCCUGGUGGCGAGUGGCGAACGGGUGAGUAAUAUAUCGGAACGUGCCCAGUCGUGGGGGAUAACGCAGCGAAAGCUGUGCUAAUACCGCAUACGAUCUACGGAUGAAAGCGGGGGAUCGCAAGACCUCGCGCGAUUGGAGCGGCUGAUAUCAGAUUAGCUAGUUGGUGGGGUAAAGGCCUACCAAGGCGACGAUCUGUAGCUGGUCUGAGAGGACGACCAGCCACACUGGAACUGAGACACGGUCCAGACUCCUACGGGAGGCAGCAGUGGGGAAUUUUGGACAAUGGGCGCAAGCCUGAUCCAGCAAUGCCGCGUGCAGGAUGAAGGCCUUCGGGUUGUAAACUGCUUUUGUACGGAACGAAAAGGUCUCUCUUAAUACGAGAGAUUUAUGACGGUACCGUAAGAAUAAGCACCGGCUAACUACGUGCCAGCAGCCGCGGUAAUACGUAGGGUGCGAGCGUUAAUCGGAAUUACUGGGCGUAAAGCGUGCGCAGGCGGUUUUGUAAGACAGAUGUGAAAUCCCCGGGCUCAACCUGGGACCUGCAUUUGUGACUGCAAGGCUAGAGUACGGUAGAGGGGGGAUGGAAUUCCGCGUGUAGCAGUGAAAUGCGUAGAUAUGCGGAGGAACACCGAUGGCGAAGGCAAUCCCCUGGACCUGUACUGACGCUCAUGCACGAAAGCGUGGGGAGCAAACAGGAUUAGAUACCCUGGUAGUCCACGCCCUAAACGAUGUCAACUGGUUGUUGGGUCUUUACUGACUCAGUAACGAAGCUAACGCGUGAAGUUGACCGCCUGGGGAGUACGGCCGCAAGGUUGAAACUCACAGGAAUUGACGGGGACCCGCACAACCGGUGGAUGAUGUGGUUUAAUUCGAUGCAACGCGAAAAACUUACCCAC